GCAUUCUGCAAAGCGCUGACAUUGAAAACAGAUGAAGAAAUAAAUUACAUGAGAACUUAUUAUAUAAGAUCCUCUUUGAAAAUAAAUAUAACAUCUUAUACUUUCCUAACAAAGGGCGGAAUUUUUGUUGUACAGAUUAUUAUGGAUCUAUACAGUCCAAAUGUGCUUUUGAUGCUAGUGCACAGUGAUUUGCACAGAAGCAGAAAGUCAAAAUUAAGUGCCAGCAAACCUGUGGAAAACAAGGAGGUGCUAAAAUGCAGACUUCUAGUUGAGGGAAAUUACUCUGUGGGAAACCACGAACGUAGUCCAACUUGCACAUUUUAUAGGGCUACGCGAUGUGGUAUAUGGCACAUCAUUCCUUUAUUGUAGAAAACUUGCAGAACCAGCUGAAAAUAAUCUGAAGAAAACUAAAACCAAGAAGAUAAAAAGGGGUCUAGAAUACUAGAUCUGUCAACAUAACUCCAGUUGCCAGAAAGAUACCGGAGCAAAAAGCAAGCCAUGGACCCGUGAUCACAACAGAAACACCAACACAGUAAGAAAUUGAUGUGAAGUGACUGACAGUAGAAGCCAGAGACUGCUCCUGGCAAGAUGGUGUAGAUGAGCCAUGUGGAGGGAGAAACCAAAUGUACCCUUCAAGAUUCCCAACUCAUGGCCUUGCUGUGCAUCACCAGCACCUAAAGCCUUUGGGGUAAGGAGUUAAAGGGAAACAGCAAGCACCAGUUUAGGACUGUCAUGGGCUAUUCACGGGCUCUGUCACAGAACCCAGAUGGCUUCAUUCAUUGCUACUGGAAGGGGAGACAGUGGCUUGCUGGACAGGAGCUCCCAAGGCCACCAAGUUGUGGCUCUAAAAGAGCAGGAUGGAAAAAUAAUUCACCAGCUAGGUCCAUUCCACAAAUAAUGUGUUAUUUGAUUCAUAUGUUAUAUGAUUCAUUUUUUUAAAUAAAGCCUUGGCAAUUGCCACAAAAUACCCCAAAGGUAACCAAACAGGCUUUAUUACAAAAAGUUGUGGAGCAGAGAGGAAUUUAUGUUUCAUAAUUGUCCCUCAGAGGACACUCAUAUCUUGCCACUGCUGGACUAUGCUGUGUGCCUAGUGUGGAUGCAUAACUGCCUUGGUUUCUUCGAAGAAUCCCUUUGCAGGCAUGCACUCAUACUGUGAAUCAUUACAGCAGAAAACUGAACUGCAGUACUAGUUAGAAAGCUGCACUGAUUGAAUUGCACUGCUCUCCAAUGCUAACUCCACAAUAAUUGCCUAAACAGCUGCUUCAAUAAGGCACUAUUUAUUUAUUUUUUGACAGGAUUUGCAGCUUUAGUGAUGCUAUAAUUACAACAAAAAUACACAAGUCACUUAAAUUGCCAGAGUAAUUAAACUAGACUAAUGUGCUGUAAUUAUUUCUUCCAAGACAAACAGUAAGUUUUCUAGUACCUUUUCUUUCUUUGUAAUGUAUUACCAAAUAUUUUCAGCCUCUGCUUCGUUUACCCUCCUUCAACAAUCUUUGGAAGGUCCUGCUAAAAUUUGAAAUCCAAAGAAGGUGUACGUUGCCCACAGAACUGCCCAGGGCCUGAGUGUUUUCCUGACCUGGGGUGCCAGUUCUCUGCUUCAGGACUGAGCCAAAGCCAGAUUCUUGAAAAGCAAUUCCUCGUGUCAGCAAGCCCUCUAAACAUUUACCUCAAAAUGGUUCCUAGAUUCACUCUUAAAGGUUCUGGCUAUCGCAUCUGUGCAAAAGCCUUGUUACAAAAGAAUAGCCUUGAGCCGAUACAAAGAAGGUUCCUCUUUCUAAUUCAUACAGAACAGAAAUUGUAUCAAAUUGGG
Non-coding RNA from Anas platyrhynchos (mallard), 1810 nucleotides. The record is from RefSeq and is a predicted model, not a curated record. Lineage: Eukaryota; Metazoa; Chordata; Aves; Anseriformes; Anatidae.